UACGUAGGGUGCGAGCGUUAAUAGGAAUUACUGGGCGUAAAGCGCGCGUAGGUGGCUUGAUAAGCCGGUUGUGAAAGCCCCGGGCUCAACCUGGGAACGGCAUCCGGAACUGUCAAGCUAGAGUGCAGGAGAGGAAGGUAGAAUUCCCGGUGUAGCGGUGAAAUGCGUAGAGAUCGGGAGGAAUACCAGUGGCGAAGGCGGCCUUCUGGACUGACACUGACACUGAGGUGCGAAAGCGUGGGUAGCAAACAGG
This 253-nucleotide ribosomal RNA is filed under the name uncultured microorganism. RNAcentral's name for it is "partial 16S ribosomal RNA". It matches the Rfam family "Bacterial small subunit ribosomal RNA", at positions 524 to 776 of the family's 1533-position model. The record is from RNAcentral.